CAGGCUGUGAUGUAAAUGCUGCCAACGACCGAGGGAACACCCCCCUGCACCAGGCUGCCAUGAGUGGGAACAUCCCUCUCAUCAAACUGCUCCUCAAGCACGGGGCAGACCCUUACAUCGCAAACAGCGCCAACAUACUUCCGAUCGACUGCGCCACCAACACAGGCCACCUAGUCGCAGCGAAGCUCCUGCGUAUCAACAUCAGCACCCCUCACCAGGUGUGGG
Long non-coding RNA from Branchiostoma floridae (Florida lancelet), 225 nucleotides. RefSeq lists it as uncharacterized. The record is from RefSeq and is a predicted model, not a curated record. NCBI's taxonomy places the organism in Eukaryota, Metazoa, Chordata, Leptocardii, Amphioxiformes, Branchiostomatidae. The transcript is spliced from 3 exons.